AUUUUUGAAAAGUUGAUUGUUGUCCUUUUACGGAUAUUAGUAUACAAAACAGUGUAAACGAACGAAAAUUUAAUAUACCUUUGAACAAAAUAUACCUUCGGCGAACGAAUAACAAUUAGAACGACGAAUGUUGGAGAAACAGUUCUAAUUUGUAAAUGUUAUUCUAAAGAACGAAAUAUACCUUCGAACGAAUAUAAUUAGAACGACAAAUAUUAGAGAAACGGUUCUAACUUGUAAAUUGUAUUCUAAAGAACAAAAUAUACUUUCGAACGAAUGACAAUUAGAACGACGAAUGUUGGAGAAACGGUUCUAAUUUGCCAAUUUUAUUCUAAAGAACGAAAUAUACCUUCGAACGAAUAACAAUUAGAACGACGAAUGUCAGAGAAACGGUUCUAAUUUGCCAAUUUUAUCCUAAAGAACGAAAUAUACCUUCGAACGAAUAACAAUUAGAACGACGAAUGUUGGAG
Molecule: non-coding RNA, 467 nt
Organism: Paramuricea clavata
Lineage: Eukaryota; Metazoa; Cnidaria; Anthozoa; Malacalcyonacea; Plexauridae
Source: the annotation of a GenBank genome assembly